RNAcentral lists this ribosomal RNA (497 nucleotides) under uncultured bacterium. RNAcentral describes it as "partial 16S ribosomal RNA". It matches the Rfam family "Bacterial small subunit ribosomal RNA", at positions 28 to 507 of the family's 1533-position model. The record is from RNAcentral.
GACGAACGCUGGCGGCGUGCCUAAUACAUGCAAGUUGAGCGAUGAAGAUUGGUGCUUGCCCCAAUUUGAAGAGCAGCGAACGGGUGAGUAACGCGUGGGGAAUCUGCCUUUGAGCGGGGGACAACAUUUGGAAACGAAUGCUAAUACCGCAUAAUAACUUUAAACAUAAGUUUUAAGUUUGAAAGAUGCAAUUGCAUCACUCAAAGAUGAUCCCGCGUUGUAUUAGCUAGUUGGUGAGGUAAAGGCUCACCAAGGCGAUGAUACAUAGCCGACCUGAGAGGGUGAUCGGCCACAUUGGGACUGAGACACGGCCCAAACUCCUACGGGAGGCAGCAGUAGGGAAUCUUCGGCAAGGGACGAAAGUCUGACCGAGCAACGCCGCGUGAGGGAAGAAGGGUUUCGGAUCGUAAAACUCUGUUGGUAGAGAAGAACGUUGGUGAGAGUGGAAAGCUCAUCAAGUGACGGUAACUACCCAGAAAGGGACGGCUAACUACGUG